AUGAAGGGGGUUCUCACAAGCAUUCUCAAGCAAGUAGGAGCUCAACCACCUGCUGACACCCAAGCAAUGACAGAGGAAGGUCUUAUCCACGCCAUAUCAAAUUUCCUAGAUGACAAAAGGUACCUAGUAAUAAUUGAUGACAUAUGGCAUCGUGAAGAAUGGGACAUCAUCACCAAGUCUUUCCCACAAAAUAAUCUCGCCAGUAGAAUUGUCAUCACAACUCAUAUAUGCAUCGUCAAGAUGCAGAGGCCGAUGGUUUAUCUUUCUCUUAAAAAACAAAAAACUCGUAUUGCUUCUCUACCAGGAUAUGAUUUGGAUAAUAGUAAGCUUUGCAUCAGAAUGAAUCCUAUAUGGGCUCCCGAAUUGAAAAGAUGGCUCUACGGAUCUAGUGUGGGAAAUUUCGUUGCUUGGAUGAAGCCUGACACAGUUGGACAAGGCUUUAACUGUGACCAUCCUAUUGUGAGCAUGUGUGGUGGUGUUCCGUUAGCACUACUUUGCAUGUUUUCAGCAAUGGUAAUGGUCCUCCGAGAGCAACAUGAACAACUAGGGGUACAUGUAAAGGCAAGUGAUGUGCAAGAUAUGAUUGAGAAGCAAGUUAAGCAAAAUGGAAUUCAGAACACUCCAGGGUUUCAACCGUUGGUACACAGUUUGCAGCUUGACUACACCAAUCUUCCUCACCAUAUGUUGAAGACAUGCUUGUUAUACUGCAGUGUAUACCCUGAGAAUUACCCUUUUCGCAAGAAUGAUUUGGUCAUGCGAUGGGUCGCUGAAGGAUUUACUUAUAAAGUGGAUGAAGCAGAAGAAUAUUUUGAAGAGCUUAGUGAGAGAGGUUUAUUGAUGCAGCAUAAUCAUGACAGUGCCUACCAAUUGAAUCCGAUGAUGCGAAAUUUCCUUAGACGGAAAUCACAUGAAGAUAAUUUCAUUACUUACAGUUCCGACAUCACAUGGGCAUAUCCCUAUCGAAUCCAUCGGCUAUGUAUUGACAAGCAUCCAGGUGAUGAUGGUGCACCGGAGGGGGUGGAUCCCUUCUCUGGAUUGGAUUGGCCUCAGAUUCGAUCUCUUGUUGUUUUUAAAGAUGCUGAGAGACUACCCAUUGAGAAAUUGGAACGUGUGCGAGUGUUGGAUCUUCAGUUUGAAAAGGGUCUUGGGAAUCAUCAUGUGAUGGAUAUCUGUGGACUGCUUCGUGUGAAGCACCUAUUCGGUGUAAAUGGAUUGGGAAUUAGUGAGCUACCACUAGAAAUAGCGAGGCUGCACUAUCUCGAGACUCUGGACGUAAGCGGUACGCGGAUUAGAGAGCUACCCCGUGAGAUUGGGAGAUUGAAGAAGUUGAAGAAUCUAUAUGUGAGUUUUAACCGGAGGAUCACGGAGUUGCCCAGAGAGAUGGGAGACCUGCAUCAUUUAGAGAUAUUGUGCAUGAGUGGAACAGAUAUCACAGAGCUGCCUAGGGAGAUCAUCGGGGGAUUGAAGAAGUUGAAGACUCUGGACCUGAGCUACAACAAAGGGCUGAGGGAGCUGCCGAGGGAGAUCGGGGACCUACAACAUUUAGAGACUCUGGACCUCAGCGGUAUCGAAAGGAUGACAAAUCUACCACGGGAGAUCGGUAAAUUGCAGCAUUUGAAAACGCUGAAGGCGCGUUGUACACGGAUCACAAAGCUGCCAAGUGAGAUUGGUAACCUCCAUAACUUAGAGACUCUUGACCUGAUGCGCAGCCACAUGCUCACAGAGCUGCCUCGUGAGAUCGGGAAUCUGCAGAAUCUGGAACGACUGCUCUUGAGUUCUACAGCGGUGGUAAAGCUACCAAGGGAAAUUGGGGGGCUUAAGAAGCUGGAGUUUUUGGAUUUAGAAGAUAUAUUCGGCCGUGCACGUGCACUACCCUGGGAAGCUAGUCAGCUUCCGAAAUUGGAGGGAGUGCCCAAGUGGGUCCGCCAAGCUUGGAAGAAUAGUGAUCUUGUGUCUUGUGCGUUAGCCAAGGAGAUCCUGUCCAUUGAAAUGCUUCGUUCGGAAGGUGAUGCGGGGGGCUAA
Molecule: ribosomal RNA, 2022 nt
Filed under: Triticum aestivum (bread wheat)
Lineage: Eukaryota; Viridiplantae; Streptophyta; Magnoliopsida; Poales; Poaceae
Description: partial small subunit ribosomal RNA
Source: RNAcentral